GCUAUACAUGCAGUCGAGCGGACAGAUGGGAGCUUGCUCCCUGAUGUUAGCGGCGGACGGGUGAGUAACACGUGGGUAACCUGCCUGUAAGACUGGGAUAACUCCGGGAAACCGGGGCUAAUACCGGAUGGUUGUUUGAACCGCAUGGUUCAGACAUAAAAGGUGGCUUCGGCUACCACUUACAGAUGGACCCGCGGCGCAUUAGCUAGUUGGUGAGGUAACGGCUCACCAAGGCGACGAUGCGUAGCCGACCUGAGAGGGUGAUCGGCCACACUGGGACUGAGACACGGCCCAGACUCCUACGGGAGGCAGCAGUAGGGAAUCUUCCGCAAUGGACGAAAGUCUGACGGAGCAACGCCGCGUGAGUGAUGAAGGUUUUCGGAUCGUAAAGCUCUGUUGUUAGGGAAGAACAAGUGCCGUUCAAAUAGGGCGGCACCUUGACGGUACCUAACCAGAAAGCCACGGCUAACUACGUGCCAGCAGCCGCGGUAAUACGUAGGUGGCAAGCGUUGUCCGGAAUUAUUGGGCGUAAAGGGCUCGCAGGCGGUUUCUUAAGUCUGAUGUGAAAGCCCCCGGCUCAACCGGGGAGGGUCAUUGGAAACUGGGGAACUUGAGUGCAGAAGAGGAGAGUGGAAUUCCACGUGUAGCGGUGAAAUGCGUAGAGAUGUGGAGGAACACCAGUGGCGAAGGCGACUCUCUGGUCUGUAACUGACGCUGAGGAGCGAAAGCGUGGGGAGCGAACAGGAUUAGA
RNAcentral lists this ribosomal RNA (751 nucleotides) under Bacillus amyloliquefaciens. Its description in RNAcentral is "bacterial SSU rRNA". It matches the Rfam family "Bacterial small subunit ribosomal RNA", at positions 48 to 782 of the family's 1533-position model. Lineage: Bacteria; Bacillati; Bacillota; Bacilli; Caryophanales; Bacillaceae. The record is from RNAcentral.